UCCUGGCUCAGGAUGAACGCUAGCGGCAGGCCUAAUACAUGCAAGCCGGACGGCAAGUUGAGUAGCAAUACUUGACCUAGAGUGGCGUAAGGGUGCGUAACACGUAUGCAAUCUGCCCACAGCCGGGAGAUAGCCCUCCGAAAGGAGGAUUAAUAUCCCAUAGGAAGAUGAGAUGGCAUCAUUUUAUUUUUAAACUACGGGGCUGUGGAUGAGCAUGCGGUUGAUUAGCUAGUUGGCGGGGUAAAGGCCCACCAAGGCGAUGAUCAAUAGGGGACCUGAGAGGGUGAUCCCUCACACUGGUACUGAGAUACGGACCAGACUCCUACGGGAGGCAGCAGUAGGGAAUAUUGGUCAAUGGGCGCAAGCCUGAACCAGCCAUGCCGCGUGCAGGAAGAAGGCCCUCUGGGUUGUAAACUGCUUUUGAUAGGGAACAAAUGCCACUUGCGAGUGGAGCUGAGUGUACCUAUAGAAUAAGCACCGGCUAACUCCGUG
This 492-nucleotide ribosomal RNA is filed under the name uncultured bacterium. Its description in RNAcentral is "bacterial SSU rRNA". It matches the Rfam family "Bacterial small subunit ribosomal RNA", at positions 17 to 507 of the family's 1533-position model. The record is from RNAcentral.